GACGAACGCUGGCGGCGUGCUUAACACAUGCAAGUCGAACGGUGAAGCCCUUCGGGGUGGAUCAGUGGCGAACGGGUGAGUAACACGUGAGCAACCUGCCCCUGGCUCUGGGACAACCACUGGAAACGGUGGCUAAUACCGGAUACGACCCGCCUCGGCAUCGAGUGUGGGUGGAAAGUUUUUCGGCUGGGGAUGGGCUCGCGGCCUAUCAGCUUGUUGGUGAGGUGAAGGCUCACCAAGGCGACGACGGGUAGCCGGCCUGAGAGGGCGACCGGCCACACUGGGACUGAGACACGGCCCAGACUCCUACGGGAGGCAGCAGUGGGGAAUAUUGCACAAUGGGCGAAAGCCUGAUGCAGCGACGCCGCGUGAGGGAUGACGGCCUUCGGGUUGUAAACCUCUUUCAGCUCCGAAGAAGCGAAAGUGACGGUAGGAGCAGAAGAAGCACCGGCUAACUACGCG
This 462-nucleotide ribosomal RNA is filed under the name uncultured bacterium. Its description in RNAcentral is "partial 16S ribosomal RNA". It matches the Rfam family "Bacterial small subunit ribosomal RNA", at positions 28 to 507 of the family's 1533-position model. The record is from RNAcentral.